GAUUUACUAAACACAAGAACCGAAACAGACCAGGCGAGUUUAUCUACCUAUCCGCGGCCCGCUCGCCCAAUCUCUCUCCUCCCUCCGCCCGCGCCCGCAUCCUUCCCGACGCGCCGCCCGAAACCCUAACUCCACCGAUCUAUCUCUCCAGCCCAGCCCGGGGGAGGGGAUGGCGGCGGCGGCGGGAGGGCAGGGCGGCGGCAUGGACGCCGCGCUCCUCGACGACAUCAUCCGCCGCCUGCUCGAGGUGCGGACCGCGCGCCCGGGGAAGCAGGUGCAGCUCUCCGAGUCGGAGAUCCGCCAGCUCUGCACCGUCUCCCGCGACAUCUUCCUCAGCCAGCCCAACCUGCUCGAGCUCGAGGCACCCAUCAAGAUCUGCGGUGACAUCCAUGGUCAAUACAGUGAUCUUUUAAGGCUUUUUGAAUAUGGAGGAUUUCCUCCAGAAGCCAAUUAUCUAUUCUUAGGUGAUUAUGUUGAUCGAGGCAAACAAAGUUUGGAGACUAUAUGCCUUCUUCUCGCGUACAAAAUCAAGAAUCCAGAGAAUUUUUUUCUUCUGAGAGGCAAUCAUGAAUGUGCUUCAAUAAACAGAAUAUAUGGAUUUUAUGAUGAAUGCAAGCGCCGAUUUAAUGUGCGGCUAUGGAAGGUCUUCACCGAAUGUUUUAACUGUCUCCCUGUGGCUGCUCUAAUCGAUGAUAAAAUAUUAUGCAUGCAUGGUGGACUCUCUCCCGAUCUAACACACUUGGAUGAGAUAAAGAACUUGCCGCGACCAACUGAUGUACCGGAUACAGGUCUACUAUGUGACCUUCUUUGGUCAGAUCCGGGAAAAGAUGCUCAAGGGUGGGGCAUGAAUGAUAGGGGGGUCUCAUAUACUUUUGGUGCUGACAAAGUUUCAGAAUUCCUGCAAAAGCAUGACCUUGAUCUUAUUUGCCGGGCUCACCAGGUUGUUGAGGAUGGGUAUGAAUUCUUUGCUGACAGACAGCUUGUCACCAUAUUCUCGGCUCCCAAUUAUUGCGGCGAAUUUGACAAUGCUGGUGCGAUGAUGAGUGUUGAUGAAACUUUGAUGUGUUCUUUCCAAAUUCUCAAACCUGCCGAGAGAAAAAACAAAUUUAUGGCGUCAAACAAAAUGUGACAUGGUGAUGCCUUUCCACUUCCAGUGUGUCUGAGUCAAGACUGUCUACUAGGCUUUCUUCUGUGGAUGCAUUAAGACAUCAGUGUGCCGGCGCUAGGCUUGAAGGCAGCAUUGGGGCCAUUUCUACCAGAGAAACCAAAUAAUAUCAUACCUAACUGUUCGUCUGGAACUUACUCUUCAUGGCAAGUGCCUGAUUUUUUUUUCCUUUCUUGUUACCGCGUGUGAAACUAUCUUGUAGUUGUAGAUAUAUUGAUUAUGGAAGGAUGAAGUUGCCAAAUUGACCUGAGGCGAUUUCCAUAUCCAGCCAGGAAUUAUUCUGAAUAUCAAGGAGUUUCUGUUUGGAAGUUCAACUAUUUAAAAGCAGUUGUAUUAGUUGUAUGGAGGUAAGGACUAAGCCAAGGCCGUGUUUUCUGGCGCUUGUAAUCAGUUGUAUGGAGGUAAGGACCAGCUUAACUGCCAACUGGGUGCAUCGUGAGCUUUAACUGUCGUUAUGGGAUUCAAAUAUGCUCAUUUUUGUUAUGGUGUUA
RNA transcript from Phragmites australis (common reed), 1656 nucleotides. It is a transcript of the gene named serine/threonine-protein phosphatase PP1, with no coding region annotated. NCBI's taxonomy places the organism in Eukaryota, Viridiplantae, Streptophyta, Magnoliopsida, Poales, Poaceae. The record is from RefSeq and is a predicted model, not a curated record. The transcript has 5 exons.